Molecule: long non-coding RNA, 2938 nt
Filed under: Salmo salar (Atlantic salmon)
Lineage: Eukaryota; Metazoa; Chordata; Actinopteri; Salmoniformes; Salmonidae
Description: lncRNA (ENSSSAG00000098124.1)
Source: RNAcentral
UUAUUGGUCAAGGUCAUGCCAAUUACUUAUUACCACAUCUAGUUCAGCCUAUCAGCGGCCUUGAUUCCCGGGACUUUAGUUUCAGUUAGUGUAUGACUCAAGCAAACAGUAUGGUCAGAAACAUGAAUCCCCCAUCCUGAUGAUCACUACCACAGUUUUUCCUCCAAUGGACUGAAUCCCUGUCUGUCUGAUGUUUAACUGUGCGUGCAUCUAAACCCUCAAAUGCAGAGAACUUGCCUAUGAAUUGGCACAUCGAAACAACAUCCCUGUCCCAGACAACUGGUCAAGAAAUGGAAGGGUCAUCCCGUUGACAGAGGGAAAGAGAGAGGAGAGGAAGAGAGCAAGAAGAGGAGGAGUGUGUUCUUUACAGUCCCUGUGGGAUGACUGGGCUCAGCUGCUGUACACGGCUCAAUGUGCAGUGAUAGUUAAUCUCAUAUGCAGCUUUCUUCUCAGUGAGACAGACAGACAGGCUAACAGGACCUGAGCCCUAGGACCAUGCCUCAGGACUACCUGGCAUGAUGACUCCUUGCUGUCCCCAGUCCACCUGGCCGUGCUGCUGCUCCAGUUUCAACUGUUCUGCCUGCGGCUAUGGAACCCUGACCUGUUCACCGGACGUGCUACCUGUCCCAGACCUGCUGUUUAACUCUCUAGAGACAGCAGGAGCGGUAGGGAUACUCUCAAUGAUCGGCUAUGAAAAGCCAACUGACAUUCACUCCUGAGGUGCUGACCUGAUGCACCCUCAACAACCACUGUGAUUAUUGUUAUUUGACCAUGCUGAACAUUUGAACAUCUUGGCCAUGUUCUGUUAUAAUCUCCACCCGGCACAGCCAGUAGAGGACUGGCUACCCCUCAUAGCCUGGUUCCUCUAGGUUUUGUCACAGGCCGGCUCAUAGCCUGUGGCAAAAAUGAGGGGAUAUGGACAACAGGUAUAGGCCAAUCAAAAGGUUCUUUAUUAUAAACCAAACUAUUAACUCUAUACCCAGAAAAAGGAAUGAGGUAUGGAAAUGUCAUAAUGUAGGGUGAAUGUAAUGUGCAUGGAUGCAUGAAUCUGUGUGAACAUGACUGAGUGGAAACUAAGUAAACCUACAAAGGAACAAACAAAACAGGAUCAUACCUGGAGGAGCAGGGAGAGAGAGAGGUUAGUGAAGCAGUUUAAAUAUCCUGAGCCCAGGUGGCUCUAAUCACUAACGACCCUCCUCUGCCUGCAGGGGGAACCGCCCCUGCACUGCAGAGGGGCCGUGACAGUUUCUUCCUAGGUUUUGGCCUUUCUAGGGAGUUUUUCCUAGCCACCGUGCUUCUACACAUGCAUUGCUUGCGGUUUGGGGUUUUAGGCUGGGUUUCUGUACAGCACUUUGAGAUAUCAGCUGAUGUAAGAAAGGCUAUAUAAAUACAUUUGAUUUGACUUCACCCCUACCCACAUGUACAAAUUACUUCUAACCUGUACCCCUGCACACUGACUAACCUGUACUCCAGCACCGUAAUCCCCUGUAUGUAUCCUACUGGUUAGAGAGUUGGGCCAGUAACUGAAAUGUUGCUGGAUCGAAUCCCCGAGCUGACAAGGUAAAAAUCUGUCGUUCUGCCCCUGAACAAGGCAGUUAACCCACUCUACCCCGGUAGGCCGUCAUUGUAAAUAAGAAUUUGUUCUUAACUGACUUGCCUAGUUAAAUAUAUUUUUUCAAAUAGCCUUGUUAUUGUGUUACUUUUUAUAAUUUUUUUACUUUAGUUUAUUUGGUUAACGUUUUCUUAAGUCUUCUUUAACUGCACUGUUGGUUAAGGGCUUGUAAGUAACCAUUUCACGGUAAGGUCUACACUUGUAUUCGGCGCAUGUGACAAAUAAAGUUUGAUUUGAUAUCUGUCUGUAUCAGAGUUAUUAAUAGACUGUUUCAUAAAAGCUGAUAAUUAGCACUUUAGACGAUCAAAAGGGACAAUCUAGCUCAAAAUCUCUGAGGCAUGAAUUAACAUGGACAUCAUAUGGAAAGUGUGUGUGGGAGUGUGUGUGCGUUAGAGUUAACAUGACUUAAUGUGUCAAAGCAAAGCUUUUAUAUAACUUGUGUCUUGUAUGUGUGACGGCUCUUGAUAUACGCGACGCUCAUUCCAUAUCACAGCACAAUACCGUGAAUUGACUUAAGGUAACACUUCACUUUAUUGAAUAUAAGUGUUGCCUAACUUAAUAUGUCAACACAAAACAUUGUAAAUCUUGUUUGUUUUAUGAACUUGGGUCUUACCUUAGCUACUCUGCUUCACCAUGGCGUAUGUAUGACGGCUCUUGAUAUACUGUUCCAUAUGGCUAAUUAGGAUGUAUGAUGCCUGUUGCGGCGUCUGUCUGCUUGUCUCUGCCUGCCCGUAUGCUUUUAAUCAGCACUCACCUUAUCUGACUGACUUUACAUGCAGAGCCCCUCUCUCUCGCCCUCUCUCUCUCUCUCACCCUCUUUCUGGCUUUUCUCUUCCUCUCUCACUUUUCUAUUUUUCGACCUAUCCCUCUCUGUCCCCCCCUCUCUGUAUCUUUUGCUUUGUCUCCCUCCCUCCCCGUCAGCCUCCUCACAACAGAGAGGCAGCAGAGAACAUUUCCAAACGUUCUCCAGAGACAGCUCUCGAACACAGCCUCAUCCUCAAGUUCCAAGUAACACUGCGUAAGAAUCCUCAUGCGUCUGUCUUUGAGAUCCUGAGGGAAGAGGCUAAGGGCUGGGAAGUGAACAGGGGAUUGGGAAUAGGAAGUGUGAAAACUACAUGCAAGUGCCGUAUGUCACAAGCUAUCUAGAUAGUGCUACGGUCUGUUUGUUCAAAUGGCUGAAUAGGGAGUUUGUAAACAACGUAAAUGUGUUGUGUGUCACAGGCUAUCUAGCUGUAGCAUCUUUGUUCAAACUGCUGUGUUACUGGUAUUGUUGUGAUUCACGUUUUUGCCAGGUCAUAUUGAACAACCCCCGCCCAACAAUGCAAU